This 508-nucleotide ribosomal RNA is filed under the name uncultured Glomus. RNAcentral's name for it is "SSU rRNA". It matches the Rfam family "Eukaryotic small subunit ribosomal RNA", at positions 569 to 1078 of the family's 1831-position model. The record is from RNAcentral. Lineage: Eukaryota; Fungi; Glomeromycota; Glomeromycetes; Glomerales; Glomeraceae.
AGCAGCCGCGGUAAUUCCAGCUCCAAUAGCGUAUAUUAAAGUUGUUGCAGUUAAAAAGCUCGUAGUUGAAUUUCGGGGUUAGUAGGUUGGUCAUGCCUCUGGUAUGUACUGGUCUCACUGAUUCCUCCUUCCUGAUGAGCCGUAAUGCCAUUAAUUUGGUGUUGCGGGGAAUUUGGACUGUUACUUUGAAAAAAUUAGAGUGUUUAAAGCAAGCUAACGCUUGAAUACAUUAGCAUGGAAUAAUGAAAUAGGACGUUCGAUCCUAUUUUGUUGGUUUCUAGGAUUGACGUAAUGAUUAAUAGGGAUAGUUGGGGGCAUUAGUAUUCAAUUGUCAGAGGUGAAAUUCUUGGAUUUAUUGAAGACUAACUACUGCGAAAGCAUUUGCCAAGGAUGUUUUCAUUAAUCAAGAACGAAAGUUAGGGGAUCGAAGACGAUCAGAUGCCGUCGUAGUCUUAACCAUAAACUAUGCCGACUAGGGAUCGGAUGAUGUUAAUUUUUUAAUGACUCA